This is a non-coding RNA of Vicia faba (fava bean), 236 nucleotides long. NCBI's taxonomy places the organism in Eukaryota, Viridiplantae, Streptophyta, Magnoliopsida, Fabales, Fabaceae. The record is from the annotation of a GenBank genome assembly.
CACACUCUCAUUUUCAUGUUUCCAUCCUAAUUCGUUCAAGGUUAAAUCGCCAAACUCAUUACAAAAGCCAUACUCAUUCAUUCAAAGUUCAAGAUGUCCCAAAAUCGUUCAAAAGGAAAAAGACAAUCAAUACUAUUUUCAAACCAUUACAAAUUUACAAAAGAAACUACAAGAUUUUGUUACUUCAUAAGGCCGUGCACGUGCUAUGUCCCUUGGAAUCUCUGAAUCAGACAUAA